UGAACGCUGGCGGCGUGCCUAACACAUGCAAGUCGAACGGAGUCGUUUUGGAAAUCUCUUCGGAGAUGGAAUUCUCGACUUAGUGGCGGACGGGUGAGUAACGCGUGAGCAAUCUGCCUUUAAGAGGGGGAUAACAGUCGGAAACGGCUGCUAAUACCGCAUAAAGCAUUAAAUUCGCAUGUUUUUGAUGCCAAAGGAGCAAUCCGCUUUUAGAUGAGCUCGCGUCUGAUUAGCUAGUUGGCGGGGUAACGGCCCACCAAGGCGACGAUCAGUAGCCGGACUGAGAGGUUGAACGGCCACAUUGGGACUGAGACACGGCCCAGACUCCUACGGGAGGCAGCAGUGGGGAAUAUUGCGCAAUGGGGGAAACCCUGACGCAGCAACGCCGCGUGAUUGAAGAAGGCCUUCGGGUUGUAAAGAUCUUUAAUCAGGGACGAAACAAAUGACGGUACCUGAAGAAUAAGCUCCGGCUAACUACGUG
RNAcentral lists this ribosomal RNA (481 nucleotides) under uncultured bacterium. Its description in RNAcentral is "partial 16S ribosomal RNA". It matches the Rfam family "Bacterial small subunit ribosomal RNA", at positions 30 to 507 of the family's 1533-position model. The record is from RNAcentral.